RNAcentral lists this ribosomal RNA (492 nucleotides) under uncultured bacterium. RNAcentral describes it as "partial 16S ribosomal RNA". It matches the Rfam family "Bacterial small subunit ribosomal RNA", at positions 29 to 507 of the family's 1533-position model. The record is from RNAcentral.
AGUGAACGCUGGCGGUAGGCCUAACACAUGCAAGUCGAACGGCAGCACAGUAAGAGCUUGCUCUUACGGGUGGCGAGUGGCGGACGAGUGAGUAAUACAUCGGAAUCUACUCUUUCGUGGGGGAUAACGUAGGGAAACUUACGCUAAUACCGCAUACGACCUCCGGGUGAAAGCAGGGGAUCUUCUGACCUUGCGCGAUUGUAUGAGCCGAUGUCGGCUUAGCUAGUUGGCGGGGUAAAGGCCCACCACGGCGACGAUCCGAAGCUGGUCUGAGAGGAUGAUCAGCCACACUGGAACUGAGACACAGUCCAGACUCCGACGGGAGGCAGCAGUGGAGAAUAUUGGACAAUGGAGGCAAGCCUGAUCCAGCCAUACCGCGUGGGUGAAGAAGGCCUUCGGGUUGUAAAGCCCUGUUGUUGGGAAAGAAAAGCAGCAGGUUAAUACCCCGCUGUUCUGACGGUACCCAAAGAAUAAGCACCGGCUAACUUCGUG